AAUUCAUGAUGAAGGUAAGAAUUUGGUUCAUAUGCUAUAUAUGUAAUACUUAAAGUACGUGUUCAGUAUGGUUGUACAUAUUUGCUUUAUUUUUUUAACUUAUGACAUUUUUCUUUACAUUUGUAAGGUUUUAAAAAUUAAACUUCGGAAUUCUUAAAUAUAAAAAUAAAUCACUUGUACAUAUUUAGCAACUUCAACAUUUGACAUUUUUGAAUCAUACUACAACAUGUUAAGUUUAAUUAGUCAACAUUGGGAAUUUCUUCAUUAAAUCAAGUUCUUUAUAGCUCUUCGUAUAGAAGGUUCAGCCUGGGAAUGACAUGGCACCAAGAAAUUGCUGUUGCUUACUCCAGAACUAAGAUUAUUUCAGCCCCUUUUGAUUUCUCAAUUAAAGUUAGAAAAAAUUAUAAAAUAAAAAUAGUUUUUAGUUGUUGAUGUACCUUUAUUUUCUAUUUAUUUAUAUGCGGUGCUAAGAAACGAACUCGGUGCCUAGCAUGUGCCAGUCAAGUGCUCUGCCACUGAGCCACAGCCCCAGCCCCUAGAAAAAAGAUUUUAGAAGGAGAAAAAUGAAAAGACUUAAUCACAUGGUCUUGUCAAUGAAGGAAGAUGCCAGGGAAGGAUAGAGAGAGCAGAAUCUAGUCACUUGGUGAUGUAUGGUUGGAAGUUUGUUUCUUUUUUAUAUGCCUACCACAUUUCUCCUGUAAUAUUUGUGGGACUUAAGUUCUAUACUAAAAGCUUAGAAACAGUAAAGACAUUUAUUUGUAUUGAGUUAAUAAAGGAUUAAUUUAUAAUCUCAAAAGAAUGUCAUUUAGGAAAGAUAUAAGUUUGGAGAAGUGUCAAUCAAAACUCUGGACACGUGCUGGAAAGGCGGCUUUGAAGAAAAAGAAGCAGAGCUCUCCUGUCGGCUGUGGAGUUUUGUAAAAGCCUGUCAUUCAGGUUUCUCAGAUCUCUGGAUCUGGUGCAUCGUGGGCUACCCCAAGUGGACUUGAUCAUCAAUAGGGAAUUUGAUAGUUGGGGUGAAAUUGACAGAAGCCUCCUAUGGAUAAAGACAUGGAGCAUCUUCUAGGACUUCCAAUAACCUCCGCUCUUAUUUUUCAGUGGAAAAUAUUAUUACAUUAUAAGGAGGGGGUGUUACCUGCUAAACUAGGUACAUCAAGACCAAGGAAUUUGGAUGGAAAAAGUAUUAUAAGCAGCAAAUGUGGAUAGAUCCUCUCCUUGUAAAUAUUAAUCAUGAAAUCGGGUCUGGAAAAAAAACUGUUUUGCUUGUUAAUCUGCAUCUACUGUGUCUAUUUUAUUAUCUCACCCCUACACUGGACCCGCUUCAGUGCCCUCUCAGCCUCCUGUUGGCCACAGGUAAAGGAACGGUUGUCUUGGAACAAUUAUCUUUGUCACCAAAGAUAUAAUAUAUAUCUUAUAUAUAAAUAAAAAUAUAUAAUUAAAUAAAUUAAAAUAUAUAAUUUAUUGAGACCAGAAGGAUGAGGUAGACUCCGCUAAAAACAGGUGUUAUUCCUAAAGUAAUUUAUUGAGGCUUUGAUGGCUGUUAACUCUGGGCCCAGGAGUGAAUGGCUUGUUUUCAUACCUGACUUGGAUGACCUGGAAAGGUCAGGAAUUGUCCAGGAGAGGAAUCUGCAUGCGACUGGAGUGAUUGGAGCCAUUUGGCAGGAGAGGGCACCAAGUGCUCUUCUGUUCGUGCGGUGUGCCCUUUGAGACCCACACCUGGAAGGUGUGGUUGAGCUCAGAACCAGCUGGAUGCUUUCUUAUCAGAGCCCCUUCCUGAUUGUUGGUGCUGAGCAGGGAGGUGUUGGUCCUGCCCUAAGCCUGGUCUCCUCCCUUGGAGACCCAAGUGAAAGACACCAGCACAAGAUAAGCUCUUCAGUGCUGCAUGGCCAUUCUGGUGGUGGUGACCUAGCUUCAUUGGGCAGAUCCAUUUUGUCAUGAAGCCCCAUUUCUCAUUAAUUGUUAAAAUUGAUUGACUGCUUAAGGCAGGAUUGUUUGAGAGUCUCCUGCAGCUGGGGACCCACGCUCCUGUGAGAUAUAUUUCUGUUAUUCUCCCUAGAACCACUAACUUUUCUAUUUCCAAGCAUUACUAUUUGUAUUUAAAGGUACACUUAAAAGCACCUCCACUUGGGAUCUAAAUACUCUGAAAGGGCUUCUAUUAUUAUACAUUUCUUUUAUUGUUGUCUAUAAUUUCUAAUAUUGAGGGUAUGUCUCCUUGUUGCUUGAAGUAUAUAAACUCCUUUUUAGAUUUCAGUGUUGAACUUCUAAAAUGGCAUGUGAUAUCAUAGAUGUCAAGGCCAUGGGAAAGUUCUGCAGACUUAAAAAUUUAUAUAGUAAGGACCUGGAAUUUUGACAAAUGUCCUUCAUUGAUUAACAUAGCAUUUUUGUACAAGCAAGAUGGUCACAAAAACAGAAAACCUUAAAAUGCUGACAUGUAAGAUUGUUAAUGAAAUAAAUGGCUUUAAUAAAAAAUAAUUCAAGAGGUUUUUUAAGCUGGUAUAUAUCACAAACAUUUAAACAAUACUGAGCU
This 2524-nucleotide long non-coding RNA is filed under the name Marmota monax (woodchuck). Lineage: Eukaryota; Metazoa; Chordata; Mammalia; Rodentia; Sciuridae. The record is from RNAcentral.